RNAcentral lists this ribosomal RNA (392 nucleotides) under uncultured bacterium. Its description in RNAcentral is "partial 16S ribosomal RNA". It matches the Rfam family "Bacterial small subunit ribosomal RNA", at positions 523 to 918 of the family's 1533-position model. The record is from RNAcentral.
AUACGGAGGAUCCGAGCGUUAUCCGGAUUUAUUGGGUUUAAAGGGUGCGCAGGCGGCCAUUUAAGUCAGCGGUUAAAUCGUGGGGCUCAACCCCAUUCUGCCGUUGAUACUGGGUGGCUUGAUUGCGGUCGAGGUUGGCGGAAUUCGUUGUGUAGCGGUGAAAUGCAUAGAUAUGACGAAGAACACCGAUUGCGUAGGCAGCUGACCAGACCGCAAAUGACGCUCAUGCACGAAAGUGCGGGGAUCGAACAGGAUUAGAUACCCUGGUAGUCCGCACAGUAAUCGAUGAAUACUUGUUUUCGGCGAUAUAAUGUCGGAGGCAAAGCGAAAGCGAUAAGUAUUCCACCUGGGGAGUACGCCGGCAACGGUGAAACUCAAAGGAAUUGACGGGG